Molecule: ribosomal RNA, 1610 nt
Filed under: Salmonella enterica subsp. enterica serovar Saintpaul
Lineage: Bacteria; Pseudomonadati; Pseudomonadota; Gammaproteobacteria; Enterobacterales; Enterobacteriaceae
Description: bacterial LSU rRNA
Rfam family: Bacterial large subunit ribosomal RNA
Source: RNAcentral
UGCUGGAGGUAUCAGAAGUGCGAAUGCUGACAUAAGUAACGAUAAAGCGGGUGAAAAGCCCGCUCGCCGGAAGACCAAGGGUUCCUGUCCAACGUUAAUCGGGGCAGGGUGAGUCGACCCCUAAGGCGAGGCCGAAAGGCGUAGUCGAUGGGAAACGGGUUAAUAUUCCCGUACUUGGUGUUACUGCGAAGGGGGGACGGAGAAGGCUAUGUUGGCCGGGCGACGGUUGUCCCGGUUUAAGCGUGUAGGUGUGUGUUCCAGGUAAAUCCGGUUCACUUUAACACUGAGGCGUGACGACGAGGCACUACGGUGCUGAAGCAACAAAUGCCCUGCUUCCAGGAAAAGCCUCUAAGCAUCAGGUAACAUCAAAUCGUACCCCAAACCGACACAGGUGGUCAGGUAGAGAAUACCAAGGCGCUUGAGAGAACUCGGGUGAAGGAACUAGGCAAAAUGGUGCCGUAACUUCGGGAGAAGGCACGCUGACAUGUAGGUGAAGUGAUUUACUCAUGGAGCUGAAGUCAGUCGAAGAUACCAGCUGGCUGCAACUGUUUAUUAAAAACACAGCACUGUGCAAACACGAAAGUGGACGUAUACGGUGUGACGCCUGCCCGGUGCCGGAAGGUUAAUUGAUGGGGUCAGCGCAAGCGAAGCUCCUGAUCGAAGCCCCGGUAAACGGCGGCCGUAACUAUAACGGUCCUAAGGUAGCGAAAUUCCUUGUCGGGUAAGUUCCGACCUGCACGAAUGGCGUAAUGAUGGCCAGGCUGUCUCCACCCGAGACUCAGUGAAAUUGAACUCGCUGUGAAGAUGCAGUGUACCCGCGGCAAGACGGAAAGACCCCGUGAACCUUUACUAUAGCUUGACACUGAACAUUGAGCCUUGAUGUGUAGGAUAGGUGGGAGGCUUUGAAGUGUGGACGCCAGUCUGCAUGGAGCCGACCUUGAAAUACCACCCUUUAAUGUUUGAUGUUCUAACGUGGACCCGUUAUCCGGGUUGCGGACAGUGUCUGGUGGGUAGUUUGACUGGGGCGGUCUCCUCCUAAAGAGUAACGGAGGAGCACGAAGGUUGGCUAAUCCUGGUCGGACAUCAGGAGGUUAGUGCAAUGGCAUAAGCCAGCUUGACUGCGAGCGUGACGGCGCGAGCAGGUGCGAAAGCAGGUCAUAGUGAUCCGGUGGUUCUGAAUGGAAGGGCCAUCGCUCAACGGAUAAAAGGUACUCCGGGGAUAACAGGCUGAUACCGCCCAAGAGUUCAUAUCGACGGCGGUGUUUGGCACCUCGAUGUCGGCUCAUCACAUCCUGGGGCUGAAGUAGGUCCCAAGGGUAUGGCUGUUCGCCAUUUAAAGUGGUACGCGAGCUGGGUUUAGAACGUCGUGAGACAGUUCGGUCCCUAUCUGCCGUGGGCGCUGGAGAACUGAGGGGGGCUGCUCCUAGUACGAGAGGACCGGAGUGGACGCAUCACUGGUGUUCGGGUUGUCAUGCCAAUGGCACUGCCCGGUAGCUAAAUGCGGAAGAGAUAAGUGCUGAAAGCAUCUAAGCACGAAACUUGCCCCGAGAUGAGUUCUCCCUGAGACUUAGAGUCUCCUGAAGGAACGUUGAAGACGACGACGUUGAUAG